This 1549-nucleotide unclassified non-coding RNA is filed under the name Hevea brasiliensis (rubber tree). The record is from RNAcentral. Lineage: Eukaryota; Viridiplantae; Streptophyta; Magnoliopsida; Malpighiales; Euphorbiaceae.
GGAGAUGAAUAUUUGAAACAUGUAUUAAGCAAUAUUUUAAUGGUUUUGAUCGCAGAAAAAGCAAAGACUAAGAGUGGGUUUUCCCCAACAUAAUCAAAAUCUCACUGAAGGGCUUACUCUUGAUAACGACCAAGCCAUUAGCACAUAACAAGCUUACAAGCAACCACCAAAGCUUGUAAUUGAAAGUAGAAACAAUGGGUUUUCCCCUUUUGUGGAAAGCCAAGAUACAAGCAAAGAAACUUCAGAAAACAGAGCAUUUCCACCACCCUUAGCUAAUCUAUAAAGUGCCUCCAAUUAGAAUUUGUCAAAACCUAAUACCAAUUGAACUCCAAUACCACACUGGGAAGCUGCCAAAACCUGAUACACGUUGAAAGCCAUACCACACCAUCAAAGCUAUUCAUGAUUUGAACCUGUGAGCCAUAUUGGUUAUCAUUGGAAGGUCAUAGAGAGUUGCACCAACUCUUCCCCUCAUGGACAAUGCACAAGUAGACAAUGAAAAACAUUGGAACCAAACUAGUAGAACAAAGGCAUAAAUCAAGAUCAGAACCUUUGAUCAAGCAUCAUUCACAAACGAAAAAAGCAUCAGAUAUAUCACUGUUUUGACUUUUCGAAAUGGAAAUGCAUCUUGCAACCACAACAUGGUGAGUAAGCUGAAAAAAAUUUAAGUGAUACAAAUCAGAAGUUUUCCCCAAAAUUCAUUAACAUGGGAAAGGCUAUUCCUGCAUCAAAAAAUUAGGAACCCAACCAAGUGUAGACGUCACACUGAACCUAGUGGAUUAGAGUAGAAGAAGUGAAGGCAAAAUGGACUCCAUUCCUGACAGGCAAAUGCAGUUCUCUAAUCCAAAGUGACAAUGCUUAUUAUUACUGAAGAUGACUUGGAGAUCAAUUUAGAACCCAAAUUUCAGCCUCAUGUGUAUUUAUCCAGAUAUAAAUCGAUUUGGGUAUAUACCCAUAACAUUUCGAGUGAAUUAGCUUAUGUUUCUAAUUCAGCACCAAAUUUAUUAAACUUUUUUUCUUCUACUAAUUUCCCUGCAACAAAUUGCAUAUCAAGAACAGCAUAAACAAUACUAAAAUCUAAGAUUAAUCCUCAAGUUUCCUGUGAAAAACCCCACAUUCAUCAUCCAGUAAUUAAAAAAAAAAAAAAAACACUAAAUCACUAGUUCACUAUCACCAAAUAUUUUUACUUGAACAGACCCAAUCGGGGGAAAAAAAAGCAUCACUUGUUGAUUGGUGCAGGAGGGGCGCCGAGGAGGCUCUGCUGCUGCAGCUCGAGCUCACUGAUCUGCUGCUCGCGGUCCAUCUCGAUGAUGAGUGGUACCACCAGGAUGAGGAAAGUGGUACCAGCGAUCCACGCCGCCUUUCCCGUGCUCUUAGCCAGCCUCUUCGCCACGUAUGCCGCGUCAUUCGCCGCAUGUUUCGCAGUGCUCACGAUAGCUGAAUCCGAUACGGUGCGCGUCACUCUCGCAACGAUCCCUUCCUCGCCGCUGCUGUUACCGCUAACAAGCCGUUUCUUCCCCAGAGAAGCCAUUGAAAGGGUUUUGGAUCAGUC